UACCCAACAGCUAGCCCCCCUCCAAAAACAACAACGAAACAUAAAUACCCCCUAAAACCCAAACAACUUUUUAACAAACCAUUUUUCCCC
This 90-nucleotide ribosomal RNA is filed under the name Hypseleotris bucephala. RNAcentral's name for it is "partial 16S ribosomal RNA". The record is from RNAcentral. Lineage: Eukaryota; Metazoa; Chordata; Actinopteri; Gobiiformes; Eleotridae.